This 253-nucleotide ribosomal RNA is filed under the name uncultured bacterium. Its description in RNAcentral is "partial 16S ribosomal RNA". It matches the Rfam family "Bacterial small subunit ribosomal RNA", at positions 524 to 776 of the family's 1533-position model. The record is from RNAcentral.
UACAGAGGUGGCAAGCGUUGUUCGGAAUUACUGGGCGUAAAGGGCGCGUCGGCGGUUCGUUAAGUCCUGUGUGAAAUCCCCCGGCUCAACUGGGGAACUGCACAGGAAACUAGCGGGCUUGAGUUCGGGAGAGGGAAGCGGAAUUCCGGGUGUAGCGGUGAAAUGCGUAGAUAUCCGGAGGAACACCGGUGGCGAAGGCGGCUUCCUGGACCGACACUGACGCUGAGGCGCGAAAGCUAGGGGAGCAAACGGG